GGCUGCUCUGAGUGCAGCAAUGUUUACAAUUAAUUCAUCAUAACCACUUACUAAUUUCUUUGUUCCUUCUCCAUUCUCACUGCUUCACUUGACUAGUCAUAA
Molecule: Y RNA, 102 nt
Filed under: Carlito syrichta (Philippine tarsier)
Lineage: Eukaryota; Metazoa; Chordata; Mammalia; Primates; Tarsiidae
Description: Y RNA (ENSTSYG00000034106.1)
Rfam family: Y RNA
About the family: Y RNAs are components of the Ro ribonucleoprotein particle (Ro RNP), in association with Ro60 and La proteins. The Y RNAs and Ro60 and La proteins are well conserved, but the function of the Ro RNP is not known.
Source: Rfam by way of RNAcentral